CCCGAGGUUAAGAUCAGGAAAAUGAUUCCUAACCUUCUCUUUGAAAUCCUCGAUCCCCUAUAGGUACGAGGCCGAUCUGAACACUGUCUGGAUGUCUAGGAACUUGUUCAAGGAAUGAAAAGCUUUGACUGUGGUGACUUUAGCAGCCUCCAACUUCUCCUUCCACUUAUUAUUUUCUGUGGAUAGAUGAGCUUUUGCGUCAGCUCGAGCCUUGGCGAGCUCAAACUCAAGCCAUUUCACCUCG
This 244-nucleotide long non-coding RNA is filed under the name Elaeis guineensis (African oil palm). RNAcentral's name for it is "long non-coding RNA (EGUI_LNC002181)". Lineage: Eukaryota; Viridiplantae; Streptophyta; Magnoliopsida; Arecales; Arecaceae. The record is from RNAcentral.